CGCUGGACCAUGCACAAGUCUCCUGGAAUGGAGCGUCAUAGAGGGUGAGAAUCCCGUCUUUGGCAUGGAUCCCAGGGCUUCUGUGAUGCGCUCUCGACGAGUCGAGUUGUUUGGGAAUGCAGCUCAAAAUGGGUGGUGAACUCCAUCUAAAGCUAAAUAUUGGCGAGAGACCGAUAGCGAACAAGUACCGUGAGGGAAAGAUGAAAAGCACUUUGGAAAGAGAGUGAAACAGUACGUGAAAUUGUUGAAAGGGAAACGCUUGAAGUCAGUCGCGUUGACCGAGACUCAACCUUGCUUUGGCUUGGUGUAUUUCUCGGCUGACGGGUCAGCAUCAAUUUUGACCCUCAGAUAAUGACAAGGGAAAGGUGGCACCUUUUAGGUGUGUUAUAGUCCCAUGUCGCAUGUGAGGGUUGGGAUUGAGGAACUCAGCAUGCACCUCUGGGUGUCGGGGCUUUGGCCCACGUUACAUGCUUAGGAUGCUGGCGUAAUGGCUUUAAACGACCCGUCUUGAAACACGGACCAAGGAGUCUAACAUACCCGCGAGUGUUCGGGUGGAAAACCCGUGCGCGUAAUGAAAGUAAAAGUUGGGACCUCUGUCGUGGAGGGCACCGACGCCCGGACCAGACCUUCUGUGACGGCUCUGCGGUAGAGCGUGUAUGUUGGGACCCGAAAGAUGGUGAACUAUGCCUGAAUAGGGUGAAGCCAGAGGAAACUCCUGGUGGAGGCUCGUAGCGAUUCUGACGUGCAAAUCGAUCGUCAAAUUUGGGUAUAGGGGCGAAAGACUAAUCGAACCAUCUAGUAGCUGGUUCCUGCCGA
RNAcentral lists this ribosomal RNA (816 nucleotides) under Russula aff. puiggarii. RNAcentral describes it as "partial large subunit ribosomal RNA". It matches the Rfam family "Eukaryotic large subunit ribosomal RNA", at positions 168 to 964 of the family's 3401-position model. Lineage: Eukaryota; Fungi; Basidiomycota; Agaricomycetes; Russulales; Russulaceae. The record is from RNAcentral.